Molecule: ribosomal RNA, 468 nt
Filed under: uncultured bacterium
Lineage: Bacteria
Description: partial 16S ribosomal RNA
Rfam family: Bacterial small subunit ribosomal RNA
Source: RNAcentral
GACGAACGCUGGCGGCGUGCUUAACACAUGCAAGUCGAACGGAAAGGCCCUGCUUUUUUGGUGUUCUCGAUGGGCAAACGGGUGAGUAACAGGUGAGUAACCGGCUCUUGACUUUGGUGUAACUUCAGGAAACUGGACUUAAUACCGUAUAGCAUCUCCCCUUCCAUUGUGAGGGUGGGAAAUUUUCGGCUGGUGUGGUUGGACUCGCGGCUUAUCGGCUUGUUGGUGGGGUAGUUACUGACCAAGGCAUUGACGGGUCGCCGGCCUGUGAGGGGGACCGGCGACAUUGGUCCUGAGAGACGGACCAGAGUGCUAUGGGAGGCAGCAGUGGGAAAUAUUGCCCAACGGGAGGAAGCCUGUUGAAGAAGCGCUGCGUGUGUGAUGACCGCUUUUGGGUUGUAAAAAGCUUUAGGCUGUGACGAAGCGUGAGUGACGGUAAUGGAUAAAGAAGCACCGGCUAACUACGUG